UACGAAGGGUGCAAGCGUUAAUCGGAAUUACUGGGCGUAAAGCGCGCGUAGGUGGUUCAGUAAGUUGGAUGUGAAAUCCCCGGGCUCAACCUGGGAACUGCAUCCAAAACUGCUGAGCUUGAGUACGGUAGAGGGUGGUGGAAUUUCCUGUGUAGCGGUGAAAUGCGUAGAUAUAGGAAGGAACACCAGUGGCGAAGGCGACCACCUGGACUGAUACUGACACUGAGGUGCGAAAGCGUGGGGAGCAAACAGG
This 253-nucleotide ribosomal RNA is filed under the name uncultured bacterium. RNAcentral describes it as "partial 16S ribosomal RNA". It matches the Rfam family "Bacterial small subunit ribosomal RNA", at positions 524 to 776 of the family's 1533-position model. The record is from RNAcentral.